RNAcentral lists this long non-coding RNA (2923 nucleotides) under Triticum aestivum (bread wheat). RNAcentral describes it as "long non-coding RNA (TAES_LNC023765)". Lineage: Eukaryota; Viridiplantae; Streptophyta; Magnoliopsida; Poales; Poaceae. The record is from RNAcentral.
GCCUAGUUGUAAAACUGCCAGAACAAACAUGUGCAAGUUAAAAAAGGAGAUGUAUUCAAAAACAAAAGAAGGGGAGCAAAAAGGUCUACUCACUUGUAGCUUGACAAACACACCAUACCCCUUCAAGUCCAUCUUAAUGACUGUGACGAUUAGAUUGCUAUUCCAUGACAUUGGUUGGAUGGGGAAAAUUACUUACACACACCUCUAACUGACAUAAUUAAGAAAAGAAAUUUGUUAGGUCUGUCUAAUUGAAAUAGUGAAUUUUAAAAGAUGAUAGCUAAUAUCAGGUUCAUGUGCAACUAUGCCUUAUAUGGAUGCCAACUACUAUAAGGUUCAUGUGCAACUACAAACUGUAGGGAUGCCAACUUGAAUCAGUUUCGUGUAUGAAAGAAACUUGCAUGAUAUAUGGAGCCAACUACUAUGAGGUUCGUGUGCAAUUACAACCGCUAGAGAUACCAACAAAAUAUGUGAAUAUGGAAAAACAAGAUAAUUAAACUGCCAACUAAGUAUGGCCGUAUUGUGCAACUUCCUCAUACUCUUAACCAAGUAGGGAUGCUACAAUGGCCACUAGUACUACAAAAAUGACUAAAUUGGAUAAACUGCAGGAACUGAAAUUGAAUGUCAUGCCUCUCUCUUGGAUGCCCUGCUGUUUCAAGCACUAGUUAUGCAAGCCUACUACUAAUGCAAAAUCAUGUACAGAAAAAAUCGAAAAAGAAAUUGAAAUAUUGGCAACGGCUUGUGUGAAUUACCCAUAAACAACCUCUGGUAUGCAACUUCUACAUAAUUUAACUACGAUCACUAGAGGAAUUUAGUUACAGCCACGAAAAACGAGAACCAAAUCAUGUAGCAUCAGCAAAAUGCAAAAAAUCAUCAUCGGCAGCAGGCGUAUCAUAUAAUCGGCAAAAUGUCAUUGAUUAUUCAGUUAACAAUGAGAGCAAACCAACUGAGCAUCCGUGUGGUAUGCUACUACAAAAACAGUGUGUGCAAUUUGACAGCAAUGCAAGCCAACUGAGCAUACAUGUAUGUGCAAAAAAUACACCCCAUACUGAACAUGCUUUGGGCAGUGUAGUCGACUACCUGAAGGUUCCUGUGCAACUAAAGAACCUGACUAGCCAACUAUGUACUCCUCUGCGUGCAACUUCACCGGACCCGUCUAAAAAACAACUAAAAUUGGACAACUUAUGCAAUGCAGUCAAUCCCCUGACAACUAGCACUUCACCGGAGUCCCGUGCAAACACAGAAAUGGAACAUCGCCCACCCCCGGUGACUCACUCCUGCAGCAACCCCGAGCAGCCGUUGUUGCCGCGCGUGGUUCCUCACUGUCAUCGCCACGCGCGGCAGCAACUUUCCAUCCUCCCGUCGCCCCCUCUGCAUCCUAUCAUAGCGCCCGACAACAGCUCUGCAUCCUCAUGCCGCGCCAACUUAUCAUAUGUGUGUGCAACUAGUCCUGCCAACUAAACAUCAAUGUGUGUGCAACUAGACUACAUUGCAGGCCAACUGAGCAUAUGUGUGUGUGCAACUAAUCCUGCCAACUAAACUGUGUGUGCAACUAGACUACAUUGCAGGCCAACUGAGCAUAUGUGUGUGCAACUAGUACUGCCAACUAAACAUCAAUGUGUAUCAAACUAGAAUACAUUGCAUGCCAAUUGAGAAUAUGUGUGUGCAACCAGUCCUGCCAGUUAAUCAUCAAUGUGUGUCUAGACUACAUUGCAGGCCAACUGAGCAUAUGUGCGUGCAACUAGUCCUACCAACUAAACAUCAAUGCAUGUGCAACUAGACUACAUUGCAGGCAAACUGAGUAUAUGUGUCUGCAAAAACACCUAGAGUGCAUGAACAUGCUUUUAUGCAAUGCAUUCAACUUCCCUACCGUUUUUGUGCAACUACAUAAUCUAACUAGCCAACUACGUAAUGCUCUCCGUGCAGCUACCCAGAUCUGUCGAGGAAACACAUAGGGCGCACCACCACCUAGAAUCUCGUCAUGUAGUCCCGACGCAACACACGCCGGGACCGAAGCAAGAAACCCAUCCCUAUGCCCCACCUACCCACCACAUCCACCGCGACUAGAACCUUGUCGGAAACCGCAGCUGCAGACGCGAAACGCCAAGAUGUGAAACCACAAAACCCGGACCACCACCCCUGAAUCAUCUCCUUCCCAUUCAUCUUUGAUUUUCCUUGCUACAGCAAAUCAAUACUUUUUGAGAAAAAAAAAGAACUCUGAACUUUCAAAUAGAUAUGCUUCUAAACUCAUCUUUGAGACAACAUUCAGGAUAAAUUGAUGCGGGAUACUGUUAUGUCCCAAUUCGACAAUUCCUAAACAAACUGAUAAUCAUAAUUGUCUAUCUACUAUUGCCUACGAAAAAUGCCCCAGUGAUUCAAACACAGUGUCCAUAAUUGCCUCUCAAUCCUUUCUACAAUUCCCAGUACAUGGCCGAACUGCCCAACAAAUUUGAUGGGGAAAAAUUUCUCUUGUGUACCAAUCCCCCUUGCUCUCCCACGUCUUCUCCACACCUCCCCGCUGAAUCAUCUCCCGGACAACGGAAGCAACACACAUGGCUACAUCGAUACUCAAGUGAAGGAGAGAACCACAUGAACAAGUAGUUCGAAAGGGGGCAAACCUUGCGACUUCCAGUCUUGCACGCUGCCGAUGCACAAUCAGUUAUCUCCCGCACCACGCGGAGUCGCCUCUCACACGCCGCGGUCGCACAAGCUCGCGUCGCACCACCGCCUCCUGCUACAUGAGGGUCGCGUGAGCUGUCAAUGUCAAGCGACUUAUCUCCCUCACCAUGGGGGCGCCCUUCGACAGCGAGCGAAGUCCUGCUCCUCCCUCGCCGUGCUUGCAGAUGCUGAGCCGCUCAGCUCUGUUAGCUCGCCGGAUCCAAGAUCCACUGUCGCCGGCACCACGCCGCCGCGCCGACCCGUGUCG